GUACUACCUUUAGCAGUAUAUAUUUUAAAACUGAAAAAAUACAAACAAAAUUAACAUACUCUGCACAUGAGGGAUAAGAAAAUGUGUGAGAUGUUCCUUAUUUUU
This is a small nuclear RNA of Octopus sinensis (East Asian common octopus), 105 nucleotides long. NCBI's taxonomy places the organism in Eukaryota, Metazoa, Mollusca, Cephalopoda, Octopoda, Octopodidae. The record is from RefSeq and is a predicted model, not a curated record.